This 75-nucleotide transfer RNA is filed under the name Erythrobacter sp. RNAcentral describes it as "tRNA-Val". It matches the Rfam family "tRNA". Rfam says of the family: Transfer RNA (tRNA) molecules are approximately 80 nucleotides in length. RNAcentral also lists the same sequence under 294 other names. Lineage: Bacteria; Pseudomonadati; Pseudomonadota; Alphaproteobacteria; Sphingomonadales; Erythrobacteraceae. The record is from RNAcentral.
GGGCGCGUAGCUCAGUGGUAGAGCACACCCUUCACACGGGUGGGGUCGCAAGUUCAAUCCUUGCCGCGCCCACCA